CACGUAGGCACCAAGCGUUGUCCGGAUUUAUUGGGCGUAAAGAGCUCGUAGGCGGUUCGGUAAGUCGGGUGUGAAAACUCUGGGCUCAACCCAGAGCCGCCGCCCGAUACUGCUGUGACUUGAGUUCGGUAGGGGAGCGGGGAAUUCCUGGUGUAGCGGUGGAAUGCGCAGAUAUCAGGAGGAACACCAAUGGCGAAGGCAGAUCUCUGGGCCGUAACUGACGCUGAGGAGCGAAAGCAUGGGGAGCGAACAGG
RNAcentral lists this ribosomal RNA (254 nucleotides) under uncultured bacterium. RNAcentral's name for it is "partial 16S ribosomal RNA". It matches the Rfam family "Bacterial small subunit ribosomal RNA", at positions 524 to 776 of the family's 1533-position model. The record is from RNAcentral.